CCGGCGACCGGCGGACGGGUGCGUAACGCGUAUGUAACCUAUCUUUGACAGGGGGAUAACAUCGAGAAAUUGGUACUAAUACCCCAUAACAUCACCGGAGGCAUCUUCGGUGGUUGAAAACUCAGGUGGUCAGAGAUGGACAUGCGUUGUAUUAGCUAGUUGGUGAGGUAACGGCUCACCAAGGCGACGAUACAUAGGGGGACUGAGAGGUCAACCCCCCACAUUGGUACUAAGACACGGACCAAACUCCUACGGAAGGCAGCAG
This 265-nucleotide ribosomal RNA is filed under the name uncultured bacterium. RNAcentral's name for it is "partial 16S ribosomal RNA". It matches the Rfam family "Bacterial small subunit ribosomal RNA", at positions 88 to 354 of the family's 1533-position model. The record is from RNAcentral.